UGUGGGGUAGAGCAGGGGUAGCUCGCAAGGUUCAUAACCUUGAGGUCGCUGGUUCGAUUCCAGCCCCCACAA
Molecule: transfer RNA, 72 nt
Filed under: Candidatus Kaiserbacteria bacterium
Lineage: Bacteria; Candidatus Kaiseribacteriota
Description: tRNA-Met
Rfam family: tRNA
About the family: Transfer RNA (tRNA) molecules are approximately 80 nucleotides in length. Their secondary structure includes four short double-helical elements and three loops (D, anti-codon, and T loops).
Source: RNAcentral